RNAcentral lists this ribosomal RNA (399 nucleotides) under Eutreptiella gymnastica. RNAcentral describes it as "partial Bacterial small subunit ribosomal RNA". It matches the Rfam family "Bacterial small subunit ribosomal RNA", at positions 124 to 523 of the family's 1533-position model. Lineage: Eukaryota; Euglenozoa; Euglenophyceae; Eutreptiales; Eutreptiaceae. The record is from RNAcentral.
AUCUGCCCAGUAGCGGGGGAUAGCUCGGGGAAACUCGAAUUAAUACCGCAUACGCCCCACGGGGGAAAGGCCGGGAUCUUCGGACCGGUCGCUACUGGAUGAGCCUGCGUUGGAUUAGCUUGUUGGUGGGGUAAAGGCCUACCAAGGCGACGAUCCAUAGCUGGUCUGAGAGGAUGAUCAGCCACACUGGGACUGAGACACGGCCCAGACCUCUACGGAGGGCAGCAGUGAGGAAUCUUGCGCAAUGGGCGAAAGCCUGACGCAGCCACGCCGCGUGUCGGAAGACGGCCCUAUGGGUUGUAAACGACUUUUAUCAGGGAAGAACGAGGGGGUUUUGAUCUCCUGUGACGGUACCUGAUGAAUAAGCACCGGCUAACUCCGUGCCAGCAGCCGCGGUAA